CCCCGGUUGUUUGUGGAAUAGGAUUGACAGGGUGCACAUGUCAAUCCUUCUCAGAUUUGUGGAAUCACUCUAUCAACACGUCUUGCCCUCCGCCCUCGAAUGGCUCGGUACAUAACGUAAUGAGCAGUGCGUGAGGAGAGCUGGUGUGCAGGUGCUAUAUCAUAAUGAUGGCACAAGUGGUCCGUUUCAUCUCUUACGCUCUGACUGUAUGCCUGUUUGAAUGCAGUGAGCUCCACAAAAGAGAGACACUGAGCCCCCUUCUUACUGAGAUCGUCUGUCUGCCUGCUGGACAAGCUGUGUCCUGCCCACUGAACUCAAUUCAUAGAUUUGUGAUUGUGAAUCUGUCCUGUUUCAGCAGGUACUUUGGUAUCUUUAAACAUGAAAUUAAAUACUAAUAUGCA
Molecule: long non-coding RNA, 401 nt
Organism: Triplophysa dalaica
Lineage: Eukaryota; Metazoa; Chordata; Actinopteri; Cypriniformes; Nemacheilidae
Exons: 3
Source: RefSeq, a predicted model, not a curated record